ACGUACACUCCUGCGGGAGGCAGCAGUGGGGAAUUUUGGACAAUGGGCGAAAGCCUGAUCCAGCCAUGCCGCGUGCAGGAUGAAGGCCUUCGGGUUGUAAACUGCUUUUGUACGGAACGAAACGGCCUUUUCUAAUAAAGAGGGCUAAUGACGGUACCGUAAGAAUAAGCACCGGCUAACUACGUGCCAGCAGCCGCGGUAAUACGUAGGGUGCAAGCGUUAAUCGGAAUUACUGGGCGUAAAGCGUGCGCAGGCGGUUAUGUAAGACAGUUGUGAAAUCCCCGGGCUCAACCUGGGAACUGCAUCUGUGACUGCAUAGCUAGAGUACGGUAGAGGGGGAUGGAAUUCCGCGUGUAGCAGUGAAAUGCGUAGAUAUGCGGAGGAACACCGAUGGCGAAGGCAAUCCCCUGGACCUGUACUGACGCUCAUGCACGAAAGCGUGGGGAGCAAACAGGAGUAGAUACCCCAGUAGUCCCAUG
Molecule: ribosomal RNA, 479 nt
Filed under: uncultured organism
Description: partial 16S ribosomal RNA
Rfam family: Bacterial small subunit ribosomal RNA
Source: RNAcentral